This 119-nucleotide ribosomal RNA is filed under the name Helianthus annuus (common sunflower). The record is from RNAcentral. Lineage: Eukaryota; Viridiplantae; Streptophyta; Magnoliopsida; Asterales; Asteraceae.
GGUUGCGAUCAUACCAGCACUAAUGCACCGGAUCCCAUCAGAACUCCGCAGUUAAGCGUGCUUGGCCGAGAGUAGUACUAGGAUGGGUGACCCCCUGGGAAGUCCUCGUGUUGCAACCC